Molecule: long non-coding RNA, 1645 nt
Organism: Pezoporus occidentalis (night parrot)
Lineage: Eukaryota; Metazoa; Chordata; Aves; Psittaciformes; Psittacidae
Exons: 5
Source: RefSeq, a predicted model, not a curated record
AAAUCAGAUUUUCUGGAAGUGGCAGUGUACAGGAGGAAAAUGCAGCAAUGGAAACUGCAGAUAUCAACCCAAAAACCCUUUGUUCCUUACCUCUAUAUAAGUCUAGAUAGUAUUUAUGAUACUACAGACCAGCCUGUAGCAAUUUUCCUUGAAGAGCUUAGUAAUGACAUUGGUUCAUUUGCAUAUAUGGAAAUUGAAGGAUUCAAGAUGUUCCUAAGCUCCAGCACAUCUCCUGAGAUUCAUGGUUAUUUGCAUGCAAAGGAGCAGGGGAAAAAAUCCUGAAAAAAACUGUACUUUCUUUUGAGAAGAUCUGGCCGUUAUUUUUCCACUAAAGGUACAUCAUAGGAGCCAAGGCAUCUGCAGUUUUUCUGUGAAUUCAGCCAUAGUGAUAUGUACAUGUCUUUGACAGGCAGAAAGAUUUCUGGAGCACCAACAAACCAUGGAUUCUGCUUUAAGGUAUUGUGUUCAAGAUAUGCAUUAAUGCUAAAAAAAUGUUCUGUGGCCUUCUAGCCUAACAAAUCAGGAGGAACCCAAGACCUGAAACAUCUCUGUGCAGAUGAUGAACAAAGUAGGACCUGUUGGAUGACAGCAAUUAGGUUGCUUAAGUAUGGGAUGCAGCUGUAUCAGAAUUGCAUGCAACCGUAUCAAGGCAGAAGUGGCUGCAGCCCUUUGAAUAUAACACCUAUGGUAUGUCCCACAGUAGCUCCACGAACAAAUACAUCGUUUCUGCCAUCAUGCUAUUUUUAAGUAACUUGUGUCAGUUAUACUACUGACCUGAUCGUGCAAGUCUUUGCCUAUGUGAAUGCUUGCUGAAAUAUUUAGGGCUGUCAGGGUUGACUACAAAGCUAAUUAAUUACUUAAUGCAAAUCAGGUAGUUCAGACCAAUUAAGAGGCUUUUUCCCUCUGUCAAAUCAUGAAUCUUUUGAGAGUUCGUUGGCUUAUUAUCGCAGUCAGAAAGAAUGGAAAGAGGAUUUUGGAAACAGAGCACCGGAACUAUAAAUGCAUAAAAAAAGAAGCAAAGUGUUUAAGGAUACACAUGCUCUAAGUGCUGAAUAAGAAAGCUGUAACAAAUCCUUUUUGGUGUACAGUAAUACUUCCAUUUUAUUUUUUUAAAUAUGAAAUGUUAAGUAUUUGAGGUGAAUUUCAGCUGCUGCAAUACUGACUGGACUUCGGAGGAACACUGUAAUUUGGCAGAACUGGAUUUUGGAGGACAGCAGCCUAUACUAGAUGCUGUGUCCAUCUCCUCAGAUAGUUGGGACUGGAUCAGGUUGUCCUUCCCUUUAAUAUCUUAUGUUAUCCCAGCUCUUUAUGAGUCAUUUGAUUUCAGACAUUUUCAUGGAUGAUUUGUAUCACUUUUGUGGUUUUUGUUGGCUAAAUUGAGUAAAAAUUACAUGUUGCAAGGAAUUAUGACAGUGAUUUUAUGGUGGAUUUUUUGAGCUUUUAUUAUAAUUCUUGCUGUUAAAAUGCCUAAAACAUGCAUUUGCUGUACAGGUAUUUAAAAAGUUAGUUUUCAGUGAUAUUGCUAAUAUGCAUGGUUUCAAAAUUGUGAUUAAUACAUGGACCAUGUCUUCACUUCCUUUUAUGUGAAGAUGUUACAAUAGACAGCUGCUGCUUUUAUAAUGGAUCGUGGCACCAUUAUCAAUUC